CCUACGGGAGUCAGCAGUGAGGAAUAUUGGUCAAUGGCCGGAAGGCUGAACCAGCCAAGCCGCGUGAAGGACGAAGGUGCCAAGCAUUGUAAACUUCUUUUGUCAAGGGACAAAAUCAGGCUCGAGAGCCUGACCGCAGUUACUUGAAGCAAAAGCAUCGACUAACUCCGUGCCAGCAGCCGCGGUAAUACGGAGGAUGCGAGCGUUAUCCGUAUUUAUUUGGUUUAAAGGGUGCGUAGGCGGGCUGUUAAGUCAGCGGUAAAAGCCCGGGGUUCAACCCCGGCGAGCCGUUGACACUGGCUGUCCUGAGAUGUCGAGAGGGAGGUGGAAUGCGCAGUGUAGCGGGGAAAUGCUUAGAUAUUGGGCAGAACGCCGAUUGCGAAGGCAGCAUACCGGCGGCGAUCUGACGCUGAGGCACGAAAGCGUGGGUAUCGAACAGGAUUAGAUACCCUUGUAGUC
RNAcentral lists this ribosomal RNA (459 nucleotides) under uncultured bacterium. Its description in RNAcentral is "partial 16S ribosomal RNA". It matches the Rfam family "Bacterial small subunit ribosomal RNA", at positions 338 to 795 of the family's 1533-position model. The record is from RNAcentral.